Molecule: long non-coding RNA, 2242 nt
Filed under: Glycine max (soybean)
Lineage: Eukaryota; Viridiplantae; Streptophyta; Magnoliopsida; Fabales; Fabaceae
Description: long non-coding RNA (GMAX_LNC001475)
Source: RNAcentral
CUUGGGCUUUCUUCGACGAUGAUUAUUAUUAUCCACGUCGGAAUUGGUGGAACGUUCUGAUUGGGCCUGGGCUGCAAGGAGAGGCUGGAGGCGUUCGCGGAGGCAUGAAGCGCACACGCCGAUGGUGCUUGUGAGGUCCGGUAAGUGUUUCUUACACCUCAUUGUCUGCGUUUUAUUUAAAAUACGACACCGUUUUUGUUUAUAUUGUGAAACCGAUGAUGUCGUAGUGAGUUCUGAGAGAGAGCUAUCUGACGGAGAAUUCUCAGCAAAAGAAAAAAAAUCUUACGGAGAAUUUAAAGGGGAAGCUUUGUCUUGUUCUUGCAAAAACAAAUAAAGAGAGAGAAAGAGAAAAAGGUUGCUUAGUGAGGGUUUCAACGUUAGAGAGAAAUGAAAAAUGGAAAUAAGAGAAAAAGGAAGAGAGAGAGAGAGAGGGUAUAAGAGUUUAGAGAGAGAAAGAAAGUUACUUGGGUUGAUGGAAAAAGAUGGAGAACCAGCUUUGUUAACAAGUUGGAUAAGGAAAGAGUUUGCUGGAUUACAACAUCUCUUUAGGUGUUUCUUCUUAUUGCUAUUAUUAUCCAUUAAUUUUAAAAUGGUUUGUUAGUUCCUUUGUUAAUUGAUCGAAAUAGAAAAGAUAAGAAAAAAACAACAAUAACUGUGACGCUUUUUUUGUUUGUUUGUUGAAUUUAAUAACUGUGACAGCUAAUUGUUAUUGUGAUGAGGAAAAAAAAAUUAAGUUGUUUGAUGUGUGUUCAUAAAUGAAUUAGAUGGCAUCGAGUGUAUCUUAUUUACUUUAAAAUAAAUAUUAAACGAUUUUUAUUUUAUGUUUUAUGAAGAAAAUAUUUUUUUUAUUCUUAGUUUUUUAACAUGUGGUAGUGAAUAAGCAUUUAAAAAUGGUAGGGGGAAGAGAAACGGUUAAUGGUUUUGAUGAAAUUUUAAAUGUUGAAAAAGAAGUGUAAUUAGAAGGGUGCUGCCUUUUGAUUAGAUUUUUAAAAUGAGAUCAUUAUAAUGAUUAAGUGAUGUAAUGUUUUGUCUCGCGGGGUUUCAUUGAAUGUUUGUGGCCUAGUUUCUUACUAGUGCUUGCUACUAGUAGCUUUUUUAUUUAUUUAUUUAAGUAUUUAUUUAUUUUACUGUUUUUUUUAAUAGUGUUUUAUUACCAAGUCUAUUCCCUGAUACGUGACCGUGACCGGUGUUUUGGGGAGAACCGGAAUCUGUUAACUUUUUUUUGUUUAAUUAUUAAAUUAAUUAAAAAUUUAGAUUUUUAAUAAUUUUUUUUAUUUUUGUCAAUAUUUUUAUUCUUUCUAAAAUUGUUUAUUGUCAUUCAUUUAUUUUUAUUACUCAAAUUAGUUCAUCUAUUUUUAGUCUCUUAUUUAUUUAAUAUUUGAAAAAUAAGUUUAUAAUAAUGAUCUUAAAAUACAUAUUAAUAAUGAUUUUUAAUUGAUUAAGUAUAAUUUUCUUCACAAUAAUAAUGCAUCAGAUUUAAAGUCUUAAAAAAUUAUUAAAUAAAUUUUGCAAGUUAUUUACAUAUUUAUAUUUCAUAACCAUUUAUUUACAUUUUUACACAAGUGUGUUUUUGUUGGACGAGGACUAGCUUGAAUAACUUAUGCCCUGAUGGAACCUUCACAAUAAUGUUAAUUUGAAGGACUUAGUCGUGUUUAAAUUGAUUUAUUUAAAAAAANNNNNNNNNNNNNNNNNNNNNNNNNNNNNNNNNNNNNNNNNNNNNNNNNNNNNNNNNNNNNNNNNNNNNNNNNNNNNNNNNNNNNNNNNNNNNNNNNNNNUGACAUAUUAAAUUGAUGGCAACAAUAUUAAAAAAUAAAGCGACAAUGCUUGUCUUUUGGACGAAAAUAAGAAUUUAGUUAUUUCUUAUACUUAUUAUUUUUUUCCUAGGUGUUGGGGAAUAAAUUACUAUUAUUUUGUACCACCAAAGCCAAACCUUGGUCAAACCGUAAUCUUCCAUUAGUAUUCUUAUUUUAGUAUAUUUUUGUAAACCUAAUCUAGAUUAAAAUGAUAAAUCUUUUUUAUUCUUUUGAUGAGGAUAUGCUCGUUUGGUGAAUGGCGGCACCGCUUAUUGACAAGGAAGAAGCUGUCUUGUAAAUUUAUCAACCUAAUUGGUUGGCCUGUUUUAACUCACUAAAUUAAAUAUUGCAAUUUUAGAAGAGAAAAAAACAAAUAUGUACAACUGAAAAUUUCUUUCCACAGUUCAAUGCUAAUGUUAGUUUCGUGAACUAAACUUUUUAGAUUGUUU